GGGUUGUGAGGUUAAGCGACUAAGCGUACACGGUGGAUGCCCUGGCAGUCAGAGGCGAUGAAGGACGUGCUAAUCUGCGAUAAGCGCCGGUAAGGUGAUAUGAACCGUUAUAACCGGCGAUUUCCGAAUGGGGAAACCCAGUGUGACUCGUCACACUAUCAUUAACUGAAUCCAUAGGUUAAUGAGGCGAACCGGGGGAACUGAAACAUCUAAGUACCCCGAGGAAAAGAAAUCAACCGAGAUUCCCCCAGUAGCGGCGAGCGAACGGGGAGGAGCCCAGAGCCUGAAUCAGCAUGUGUGUUAGUGGAAGCGUCUGGAAAGGCGCGCGAUACAGGGUGACAGCCCCGUACACAAAAGCGCAUGUGUUGUGAGCUCGAUGAGUAGGGCGGGACACGUGGUAUCCUGUCUGAAUAUGGGGGGACCAUCCUCCAAGGCUAAAUACUCCUGACUGACCGAUAGUGAACCAGUACCGUGAGGGAAAGGCGAAAAGAACCCCGGCGAGGGGAGUGAAAAAGAACCUGAAACCGUGUACGUACAAGCAGUGGGAGCCCCACCACUAAGCCAGUGGUGAACUCCACAUACGCAUCCUUUGCUGAAGGUGCGGUUAACGGAGCGCAAGCGACGUUCAACCUCAAAAGAAGCAGAGGGGGCUUAGUGGUGGGGUGACUGCGUACCUUUUGUAUAAUGGGUCAGCGACUU
This 699-nucleotide ribosomal RNA is filed under the name Salmonella enterica. RNAcentral describes it as "partial 23S ribosomal RNA". It matches the Rfam family "Bacterial large subunit ribosomal RNA", at positions 1 to 629 of the family's 2925-position model. The record is from RNAcentral. Lineage: Bacteria; Pseudomonadati; Pseudomonadota; Gammaproteobacteria; Enterobacterales; Enterobacteriaceae.